GUCGUACUUAUCAGCUUCCUUCCUUCCUCCAAGUCAGAAUGCUGUCCUGCGGACGUAACAGACGUUAGUCACGCUAGCUUCGGGGCUACAGUUAGCUACUGUAGCCAGCAGCCACAGCGCAAGGUAUGAACUGAGGCCUAUACAGCAAACUAGAUCACAGAACACAGAGGGGGCCAUGAUGACCCCAUCCCAGAGGAGCCUGCUGUUUUGCCUGGAAGGUAAAGAGCUGGGAUGCAGAGGAGUUUUUUGAUUUAAUCACCGUGCUCCACAGUGCACAAUGUGCACUAGGAGGAGAUGGCAAUUAUAACGCCCAUGCCGGCCUGCUGUCCUGCCCGUGUGGUGAUGUAUUCCCCGGGGCGGUCACAGGGAGACGGCGGCGGGGGCACCGCUACCAUGAAAGAGACCACAAAUCCCCCCCCAUCCAACGCAGACACCAGCAGGCUCAUCACUCUGCACUAAGAGCCAAUGACGAGCCGGAUCACUGGGGCGUGCCUCACUUAGUUGGAGCCUCCGUUUGAGCAGGAUAAACACUUUAAAACAAGCUGACAGCACCGUGCCCGUCCAUGUCACAGAUGAUGAGAGACAAAAGGCACGCAGAGGGCAGCAAAAACAGGUAAUUACCUCAUACCUACACUUUCAUAAGGGCGACACCCUCAGCAUUCAUAUUUCUGUGUAUUAUAAUUAGGAAAACCAGGCCACAGACUGGGGAUGCGUUUGAGGACACGUAGACUUGCAGACUUUGAUGAAAUCCGAGGUGUCAAGCAGACAUGAAGGGACCACAGCACUUGUGCCCUUCGCUCUCGGUCUCGUGUUUAUGCUGCAUGCAGUAAAAGAGGCUUCUCGUAGAGAUCCUUCGCCUUUAUGGUGCUCCAUGUGAUUGAUUAUUUAGUGGAAAAAAACUCCACAGUUCAAAUCAGUGUGAAGCCAGCAAAUAAAGUCAAAUAACAAGGGAGAGUGCAGGUCUGAGGGAGGGAAAGAUCUCAAGAUGUUUUUGAAGCGAGUCAGAGUAGCCAAAGGCGAGUAGAUCUUCACGCUUUCAUAUCCCCCUUUUUAAUAUUUCUACCCCAUUUUAAUGAUGUGCUUCCUAUCCUUGAGUAAAGUUCUUCAUAGCCAGUCUUUUUGCCAGAAAGGAUUUUUUCUCUUUGAAAUAAAAUGUAAGUAUAUAUUUAGUCUCCUAGUUUAGAGGCUUACAGGCCAAGGCAGAUAUUCAAAUUUGUGCUUUUAUGAAUACGCAUAUUGACGGUUUUCUGGCAAUUGCCAAAAUGUUAACAAUAUUUUAAUAAACAGUGUGUACGUUCUGCUCUUCGCUGGAGGAUGAUGAAGCUUCCAUUUGUAAAUUAACAAAAUUAAUCACAUUAUUAAAUAUUCCUCUGUCAUCUGUGUAGUGCAAAAAUAUAAUCUGCAUAUGUAACCAAUGAGAAUAAACAGGCAGGACUCAGUGUGCACAUGCAUAAAGGAACAUGGGGGCUUUGCAUAAAGAAAAAUCAAAUAUUGAUGAUGAUAGUGGAGAAACUUCCAACAGAGAAAAACAAUGAAAACCAAAGCAGCAGGCGCCUGUCAUUACAACAGCUAUAAGUGUUUGAGGCCCGGAUAUCAAAGCCGAGCCUUUGAUAUAACCAGUUUCACAGAGAGCUGCUCUCCUUAAAACCAGCUAUAAUGAAGGCAUCUCAUCCCUCUGUCCAUCACAAGCCAGAGCUGCGUACUUCCAGUCACAAAGCCUCGGGCCAACUGAAUAUACCUGCAUCUCUUUUUCUCCUCGACUAAAAGGGACACUCUUGAAAUGAGAUGCAGCCAGGAAAGUUGUAAUAUGACAUUUCUUAGUUCGUAUUAGGCAGUAGAGGCAGCAAAAAGCCACAAAGAGACCCAGUAUAAUAAUCUGGAUAGGUCUUGUCAGGGUUUGUGUUAUUUACAAAAAGAAUUUGCAAUGAAUGCAGAAAAAGAAGCCAAAGAAAAAUUCUUUCAUAGGAUUUACUUCUCUAAAUACUCCUCUCACACACACAGAUACACGACAACUAGAUAGAUAUAUAUAGAUACUUUAUUAAUCCUGAGGGAAAUUCAAGCUAAACUAAAGAAAGAUGACAGUUUUAUUAUUAUCUAUUUUUGUCUACAUCCACUUUACGAGCCUUUCAAAAACUACUACAUUUACGCUUACAGUUUACAGUUACAGGUUUCACAGUGUUGUUGAACCGAUUGUUCUGUAAGAAAAUAUUAACAACUUUCCGGCGAAGGCGUUGAAAGGGAAAUAUGUAUAGAACCGGCCCCCCCCCACUCCCUCCCCUGUCUUAAGGCAGAGAUAGCCAUUGAAAAAGUGCUGGUUCAGUCUCCUUCUGUCUCUGGGCAUAGCUUUGAUCAGUCCCACCUCAAGACUUAUCCUAGAGGGAACAUUGCACCUCUAUUCUCCAUGGCUAAUCAUACUUCCUGUCUUUGUCUUUAUGUGCUUUAGACAAGCGUCAGAUAGAAGCACAGGAACAGAUUUGCCCUGAAAACCUGGAGAAUAAAGCCUCUGGUUGUGCUGCAACUCGUCUUUUCCAGCAGAUUUCCUCAUGAAUAUUUCCACUGUUUUGGAGUGGUAGAUUUCACCCCAUUGCUGCUUUGAGAAAAGGCACUUUUGAGAGACAAGGAAAAAAAGCCUUACGGAGUUCAAGAUGCCAGAGUAAAUGUACUGUAUGUCACCUGACUGUGGUGGAUAAUGUAUUUUUAGCUGUACCUACAGCUGUUCGGUGACAUGAAGGCCAGAGGUUCUGUCUUGCUUGUUGUACAGUGCAGACACCUUCCUCUGAGCCACGUCGCCUUACUACACAGAAGAGACAAGACUCAAGCAGCGAAAUGGUUAACAAAAUAAUUUUACAUGCACAGCAUAUUCUUUGGGCUCAGGCAAUAUUGCUCUGCUUGCCACCAGUGGCACUUUUCACCAAGAAAUGUGCUUUGUGUGUUUCACACAAGUACAGAAAAGACCAUUUAUGCCAGGAGCCAAAAAGAAUAAAAAGAAAAAGACAAAAAUCCCUUUUCUUUUCUCGGGGAAGCUGAAGGCUAUGAAAACCAUCUUGUGUUCUAUUUUUGAACUGAUUUCCAUCUCCAUGGCCACCUGAGGGAGGUCAGGCUGCUCUGGCCAACUUCCUCACAGGGAGAGGGACCAGCGGUGACAGGGACACAAACCCAGAGACAAACCAACCUCCAUCCGUUCCAACACCCACGCCACUCAUUAUCCUCACUGGCACCAUCAAGACUCUCACAUGGAUAUAGAAAUUAAUCGCCAUAAAGAAACAGAAAACAACAAAAUCCUUCUUCUUUUCACUUCUUUCUUGCUGUUUUUCUUCUGCUUCAAAGCCUGUAACUCUCUGCUGUGCCCUAGGGUUAAUUAACAUGAACCAAACAGUGAAUGAUCAGAGAGAAUGGGAAAUCUCCAAAGGUUAAGUGUCACAUGGGAAGCGUGUUGUCAGAAGAAGGAGAGGAGGUAGGCUGUUUUUUUUUUUUCUUUUUCUUUUUCUGCACAUUCAAAAUCAAGUGAGAGCGCAGCGGUACAGAGGGAAGAAAUUUGUAGACACCUUUCCAAAACUUUGCAUUUCUCCUGUCAGAGGGGCAGAGCUUCACAGUCUGGCUUCAAACAAUAUCUGUAAUUCCAUGACAUUUUGAUGAGCCAAAGAACGCCGCAGUUCGUCUCCAACUUGCUGAUCUUUCAACGGAUUUGUUCUCCUUCCUGUGUAUCAUUAUAAUUCACUUUAGGGAAGUAUGCAGAACACCAUUUCAUAAUGUGAUAAGCAAAAAGCUCGCGGAAGAAAAAACACAUCCAUCACAAAGUUAAUCACUGCUUUUAUAGACCUACUCAUUGAAAUUGUGUCUCCUCUUGGUAUCCCCGCAGGGAAAAAGAGAAAAUGACUUCAUGAUCCACAGAUAUCCUGGAUAGCAUGUCUUGCAGGGGAAACAGUAUGAUUUCUCUCUGUAAUAAUUAACAUGGGCUCCUCUUCUCUCCCUGUGGCUUGUCGCUGACAUUUGGUUCAUGCUCGAGUGUCUGCCUAGCUGAUUUCAAUCUCUUGCAUGAAGGUGAGGCUGUGUUUGUAUGUGUGUGUGAGUGUGUGUGUGCGUGCAUAGGGUCCGGUGGCCAGUCUGACAAGGACACCGAAGGCAGGGUCUGCCUUCAGAAGACAGGCUUAAGCAUCAUGACAAUAUGGAUUAAAGACCCCCUCAGUCAAUCCCAGACCUCCAGCAGAUGGACUGACUGCAGCCAAAACCCAAGAGGAGACAGGCCUUAUUCUGCUCUCUUAUGUUGUUUCAAUCACCAGUCUACUGUACAAAGGAGGCAGCCUGAUGGCAUGAUGAGUGCACAGCGCUCAUCUGCCUGCGCUGUUGUCUCAGUUUGAGCCUCAUAAAAGGAAGCGGGCCUGACGAUGCCAGAGGCAGAGGAUCCGGCUUCACGGUCUGAGCAGAGAAACAUCAGCAGAGCGCCAUUCUUUAGAAGGAGAUGUCCUUCAGUGUGGUGCCAACUCUCCCUGGGGCAGCAGCAGAAGACACAGCCUCUUAUUUACCAUAUACAGGAUCUCUCCGUGCCCUUAAUGAGCCAGGAUAUUCAGCAUCACAGAGACAAAGGCCACGCUUUCACUGAAGAAGCUGUGGUUUUGCUGAAUUAAAUAAUGAUAAUUAAGAAAAUAUUAAUCAAACUCUGGCUCUCUGUGCUCUGUAGAUGUGUUGAGGGAGCGGGUCUUCCAGCUUAGCCUGUAGGAGUUCUCAUUUAGAGUAUGCCUGCGACCUAUAGAGCUGCAGGCAAACGCGCACACACACACAGAUGCACACAAUUAAAAGCAGACCCUGGUGGCCUUCUACUCUAUAAUUAAACACCCUUUGGUGCUCUGCACAAAAAUACUGAGCCGGGUUCAGAUGUGUCAAGGAGAGAGGAGUGAAAGGAAACGUUAAGGAGCUGUUGGUUCUCCACGUCGCAAGUUCUGUUCAAUGCAAUGAAUUAAUAAAAAGCACAAACUAAUACCUUCCUGAUGUGCAGUUGGUAUGUCUGGCGGGCCAGCAGCAGCUAUACAGCUGUACUGUGAAACUUUAAUGCUGCUGGAUGCCUUAAGCACUGCCUGGGCUUUUUCUCUGAGGUGGGGGUGUGGAUGCGGGGGGGUCUCUUUUUCAUAUAUUCAAUCUAACUGGGGCAAGUAUUUGAAGAGAGAAAGGAUUCCUCUGACCAAGAUGCAGCUAUCUGACAGGUGGGAAUCAUAACUGGAUCCUUAUCAGCAUCUUAAAAUAUUAUUUUUUGCCAAAAAAAAUCCUCAUAUAACUUUUUCUGAAUCUAAAAUACUCAAAACUCUCCACUCAAAUUCAAAUGUUAUUAGGUGAUUAUAUGGUAUUAUUCUUCACCUUUUAGACUUCAGAGUGCUUGUCAUUUGGCUCUAGUUGUUAUGGUAAUGUGAGGUAUUCCAUCUCUUUCCCAGCAUGCUCUGUGUUUGACAUUCAUGGGGUUAAAGUCCUCUGAAUGAUGAAGUGCCAGUGUUUGGGACAGUAAAUUGCAUCGUUUCAAUUGAGAAGAGAGUUCCCCUUGGGUUUGCUGGAGGUCCCUACGGGCUGGCCUUGAACAGAACAGCAUGUUGUACAUCCAUAUAAAAAAGGGGAAAAAUAUGGUGGUACUUUUCUCUUUAUGAUGCAGAGAUUAAUCUGUCACCAUAUUCAUGCAUAAAUCUCACUCCCUGCUUUGCAAAAUACUGUUUUAUCUUACUUUACUCUAUAUUUUAUUUUUUUAUUGCCCAUAAACACAAACCAUCACAAAGGGCUAAUGUUCUCAUCAAUAUUAUUACAAAAUGAUCAUAAAUCCAAUGCCUUGUUAAAAUCGGAAGCCAUUUCUCUCCUCAGCUACUCAACCAUUGAAAUAUUAGACAGAAGCAUUAUUUUAUCAGCCAAUUUCUUUCACAAUAAUAGAUGAUCUUCGAUCAUAUUUGAGCUACAGUACACCACUUAGUUUUCAUUAGAUCAUUGCAUUUUCCUUCCCAUCCUUUCCCCGUUCACUGUGUUCAGCAGUACUGAUCUUGCCUUUUGGGGCUAUUUUUUCUUAUACUUCAGUAGAAAUGCCUUGACAACACUGUGGUGGUUAUUUCAUCCUGAGAGACCACAGACUAAACAGCAGAAACACGUUGUAUAGACGCUUGUUUAGUGGUAUGCAAAUCAUCUUAGCCAGAGGUAAAAUUAACAUUUUCAAUUAAAAUAUUAGCACCAAACAAACACGGAAAAACACACUAAUGAUUAAAUCAUCUUGAUAGAAUCUCAUAGUGGAAAAUGAGGCUGAUUUCUUGUGAUUCUUAGCGUGAAAAAGACGCGGUAUCGAUCGUGCAUUGCCCUGUUUUUGUGAAGUCGUAAGUCUUUAAGCUUGCAAAUGAAGUGUUCAGCUGAAAGUUAGAAUUCAAAGAAGUUCAUUAAAAAAUGUAGUUGUUAACAUUCACAGAUUCACACUCUUUGUAUCCCUUGUGCAAACAAAAACUUGCCCAAUUGCUUUUUAAAUUCAUUUUCACAGACUUGACAACCUCCAGUAAUUAAGGAGGAUAAUAAUGAAUUGCAACAAUUUCAUUCAUGAUAAAAUGUUUCAUUGUAUUUAAACAUUUUAAAGCUCUGCAUUUCAUCAGCAGGUAUCAGACAGUGUGAGACCUUCAGACUGAGAUACUGGAGCUCUCAGCAGAUGCUUUUAAUGCUACUAUAUCGCCCUCUGGUGGCCGUACAGGCAAACAUCAAUUAAGAAUCAAAGUGGAAGAGGCCAAGAAGUACUUUCUGGUAGUCUCCCUUGGUAUGUUCCUGCAUGAAGAAAAGUAACAGAGCAGUGUUGUUGCUAAUGACCGACGCUUCACAAGGAACAGCACAGGUCUCCGCAUCCUCGUUCUGGUUUCUCUCCAAAUAUGAGGACACACAGGGUUUAACCAGGGAUGUUGGAUGAGGGUGAACCAAAGAUCCCACACAUCGGGACGUGCUGGAGGGCCAGUUGGAUCUUCUGCUGGAGCUUCUCCACCUUCACCUUCUCCUGGAGCCAAGACCGGUCUGGAAGUUCAGCCAUGGACACGGUGGGGGAGGUUUCUCCGUUGGUGAAGGAGCAGUAAGGGAAGAAGCCAGAGCCCGGGGCAAAGUCGCAGAUGGGCUCCGGCUUGAUGCCGUUGAUGUCCAGGCCUGACUGGUCGGGAG
This is a long non-coding RNA of Acanthochromis polyacanthus (spiny chromis), 7149 nucleotides long. RefSeq lists it as uncharacterized. NCBI's taxonomy places the organism in Eukaryota, Metazoa, Chordata, Actinopteri, Pomacentridae. The record is from RefSeq and is a predicted model, not a curated record. The transcript has 9 exons.